AUUGAACGCUGGCGGCAUGCCUUACACAUGCAAGUCGAACGGUAACAGGGUGCUUGCACCGCUGACGAGUGGCGAACGGGUGAGUAAUGCAUCGGAACGUACCCGGAAGUGGGGGAUAACGUAGCGAAAGUUACGCUAAUACCGCAUAUUCUGUGAGCAGGAGAGAGGGGGAUAGCAAGACCUCUCGCUUUCGGAGCGGCCGAUGUCGGUUUAGCUAGUUGGUGGGGUAAAAGCCUACCAAGGAGACGAUCCGUAGCUGGUCUUCGAGGAUGAUACGCCACACUGGGACUGAGACACGGCCCAGACUCCUACGGGAGGCAGCAGUGGGGAAGUUUGGACAAUGGGGGCAACCCUGACCCAGCCAUGCCGCGUGAGUGAAGAAGGCCUUCGGGUUGUAAAGCUCUUUCGGACAGAAAGAAAACGCACGGUUUAAUACAUCGUGUGGAUGACGGUACUGUCAUAAGAAGCACCGGCUAACUACGUGCCAGCCGCCGCCGUAA
Molecule: ribosomal RNA, 500 nt
Filed under: uncultured bacterium
Lineage: Bacteria
Description: partial 16S ribosomal RNA
Rfam family: Bacterial small subunit ribosomal RNA
Source: RNAcentral